GCCUUUCAUUUCUUAGCCAU
Molecule: small nuclear RNA, 20 nt
Filed under: Arabidopsis thaliana (thale cress)
Lineage: Eukaryota; Viridiplantae; Streptophyta; Magnoliopsida; Brassicales; Brassicaceae
Description: snRNA_12555
Source: RNAcentral